CGACGUGAGUAACCUGCCCUGGAGUGGGGAAUAACAGCUGGAAACAGCUGCUAAUACCGCAUAAUGCAGUUGGGUCGCAUGGCUCUGACUGCCAAAGAUUUAUCGCUCUGGGAUGGACUCGCGUCUGAUUAGCUAGUUGGUGGGGUAACGGCCCACCAAGGCGACGAUCAGUAGCCGGACUGAGAGGUUGGCCGGCCACAUUGGGACUGAGACACGGCCCAGACUCCUACGGAAGGCAGCAG
Molecule: ribosomal RNA, 242 nt
Filed under: uncultured bacterium
Lineage: Bacteria
Description: partial 16S ribosomal RNA
Rfam family: Bacterial small subunit ribosomal RNA
Source: RNAcentral